GCUUAAAUAGCUUAUACACCCAGAGCAUAGCACUGAAGAUGCUAAGGAGGCGACUAACGCCUUUGAGCA
Molecule: transfer RNA, 69 nt
Filed under: Strombus pugilis
Lineage: Eukaryota; Metazoa; Mollusca; Gastropoda; Littorinimorpha; Strombidae
Description: tRNA-Phe
Source: RNAcentral